Molecule: long non-coding RNA, 2471 nt
Organism: Neofelis nebulosa (Clouded leopard)
Lineage: Eukaryota; Metazoa; Chordata; Mammalia; Carnivora; Felidae
Exons: 6
Source: RefSeq, a predicted model, not a curated record
CCGCGCCCCGCCUACCCCGGCCCCCAGAUCCUGGAGCCGCUGACCCGCCGAGUGACCUCGGGCCAGUCACGGCACCUCUCCGCGCCUCGCCUUCCCGCUCUGCAAAGUGGGGGCAAUGUUAUUUGGCCGACUCAAUGGGACUGCUUGUAAAGCUCUCGGCACGGGGCCUGGCAUCCAGUAGGCGCUCCAGAACAGCGGCUAUUUUUAUUAUUAAUUAAGGAGUAACGAAGGUGACAGCUGUGUAAACUGUAAAGCGCUGCGCCUGAACGAACGGGUAUUAUUAGCACCCGCCCCCGCCCCAGCUACUCCCUCCAAGACAACAAACUUGAGCCUUUGUGGGCGGGACGCCGAACCGGGAGCUCCCCUUAUCGGGUACGUUCAGACACCCCCGCUCAGACGCCCGCCCUUGGCGGGAGGGUGGGGGGAACACGGUCGCCGGAAAGGGGGCGGGGCCCAUGGAGGGUCUGGCCCGCCCCUUCCCCCCAAAAAAGACCUAGCCGGUGGCAGCGUCUCCCGGGAGUCCGCUUCCUGCCCCGCCCCUCCGCCCCUUGGCUCCUUAAAGGCGCAGGCCUCCAUCCUGGCUCCCACUGCUGCCAACUCCUGAGCCACCGUCGGCCUAUCCCCUUUAACCUGGGAGAGAACUUUCACUUUGCUCAAUUGAACCUGUGCCUGGGUCAGUCCCUACAAGCUCCUUCCUCUAUUUCCAAUAAGUAUUUGUUUAACCCAGCGGGACCAAAGCUUGGGAUACGGAAUGGGCUCUGUGGGGGCUUUCCCGACUAGGUAAAUAUAGUGACUAAGAGACAGCCCCCCCACACCCAACAGUGUCUCUAGACCCCUCCAGGAACCCCAUAAGUCAUCCUCCAAACUGCCCGACUUUUCCCGUCACUCAGCUCUAGAAAUGAGGGAAGAAAAAAAGGAGACAUGGAGUCUCAGUAGAGUUGAAACCAACUGGCAUCCGCUUGUAUAGAGUGAGUGGAUGUGCAGCAAUCGUGCCCCUGGGUCACAGCCGUAAGAGCCCUUGUCCUCUACUCUGACGCUUCAUGGACUGGCACGUGAUGAAGAUCCUGGGAUGCGUCCACCUCUUGGUAUUAUGAAGAAUGCUAUUACGAACAUGGGUGCACAAAUAUCUUUUGAGGCCCUUGCUUUCAAUUCUUUCAUAUAUCCAGAUAUGGACGAGCUGGAUCAUAUGUGCUGAAUAAUAUUCCAUUGUCCGGAUGUACCACAGUUCAUUUAUCUGCUCACCUACUGAAGGACAUCUUGGUUGCUUCAACAUUUGGCAAUUAUGAAUAAAGCUGCUAGAAACAUCUAUGUACAGAUUUCUAUGUGGACAUAAGUUUUCAAGUCCUUUGGGGAAAUGCUGGAUUAUAUGGCUCCUCUCUGGACGUGCUUCCUGAUCUGUGUAACGCGGAAACCCAACAACCAAGGAGCUGAGGUGCUGGCAUUGUACUGGCGACACUGGGCACACAGUAUGUGGUAAGCCAGUAGUUGCCCGCAUUAGUGCAAACUCAAAGUCUCUCAGGUCGCCUUCCUACCUCCACCAUGGAAAGGGUUUGAUGCUUCUAUCUCUGGCUGCCCUCUUCCUGAGUCAGCACCUCCCCACCUCGGAUCACCCCUCCGCCCACCUGCUCAUGCAGCUCGUCUUCUGGGCUUGGCUUUUCCUUGUGGUGCUUGGCAUCCAUACAGACAUUGAGAAGCUCAGUCCUGGGCCGGGCUGCCCACACUGCAGCCACCCCCGCCAGAAGGAGCAGCAACUCUGUUGUCACCAGCUGGGCCAUGUCAGUGUCUGAAGGAAGACCUGUGGUCAGUGGCACCAAGGAAAGCAGAGGUGGGGCCUCCAGGUCAGAUUUUGACACCAAAUGACUUCGUGCAAACUUUGACGAUAACCUCAGUUUUGGAGCUCCAGAUAAGCCGCAGACCUAAGUUUAAAACAAGACAACAAAACCCAGCCCCAGUUCCAGCCCUUCCCAGCCUCAUCAUUUGGCCUCUCCUGGAGAUCCUGCACCACGGGGAAUGUCCCAGGGCACAGAGGGCUGUGGGCAGCCAGCUGGACAGCCUCCGGGGCCUUGGGGAGGUUCCUGCCCCCGACCACAGAGCUGGCCUCCCUUUGGCUUUCGUUAGCACCUGAAUCCUCUGAAUUCAGACACUGAACUUUGGGAGGGAACUGACCGUUCCUUCACCCCACCGGUCACCAGGCGCCUGGGCUCUCCUAAAGUUUGGCAUUCGUUUCCCAUGGCUCCCAAAGCACACACGCCCCUCUGCUCAAAGUUGCCUUGUCUCCACACUGCCUUGCCCUCCCCGCCCUGUCCUGUGGAGCUCAGGCAGCUUCCUUGGCCUCCUGGACGGGACCUGAGCUGGGUGGCCUCCAGGCUGACUGCCUGGCAGGGCUUGGGAAACCUGGAAUUGAAUUCCUACCUCCCCUCUCCUCCUCGCCCCUCACCUUUCCACAAUCCAAUAUUCUGCUGCUCUAUUUA